RNAcentral lists this microRNA (21 nucleotides) under Mus musculus (house mouse). Its description in RNAcentral is "mmu-miR-3087-5p". Lineage: Eukaryota; Metazoa; Chordata; Mammalia; Rodentia; Muridae. The record is from miRBase by way of RNAcentral.
CAGGGCAGGGCAAGAGUUGAG